This 68-nucleotide transfer RNA is filed under the name Tanaisia sp. SS-2020. Its description in RNAcentral is "tRNA-Pro". The record is from RNAcentral. Lineage: Eukaryota; Metazoa; Platyhelminthes; Trematoda; Plagiorchiida; Eucotylidae.
CAGUGAGUGGUUUAAGUGUUGAGAAUGUGGGUUUUGGGGACCUUUGGUCUGUGUUGGCAGCUCACUGA